This is a long non-coding RNA of Chelonia mydas (Green sea turtle), 5864 nucleotides long. RefSeq lists it as uncharacterized. The transcript has 2 exons. The record is from RefSeq and is a predicted model, not a curated record. Lineage: Eukaryota; Metazoa; Chordata; Testudines; Cheloniidae.
AGGAGCCACUAUGACACCAUUCAGCCUCCUGAUCCUGAGACCAGUGCCAGAGAGAGAGAGAGAAGAAAACCGAUUACGUCACCACCUCCACCAGCAUGGGUUAAUUCCUAAACAUCAGCUGAGAUAUCAGACUUUGGUUCCUGCUAGUACUCCCUCCCUCAUGUGUACUUUUUCUUCCCCUGCUUUAUUUCCCCUCUUUCCUAUCCAUCUCUUUUUUGCCUUCUGUUUAAUAAGAGCCUGGCUUAGCUGGUCAAGAGUGUUUCUUUCAGAAGUGCUGUGAGCCCCGUGAUCAAUGAAGCAGCUAACAGGAAUGCUGUGACACUGAUACAAGUUUGCCAGGUCUCGGGGUGGCUGAUUGGACUGUGCCUGUGUUUCUGCAGCAGCACGGUUGAAAGUAAGAAUCAGCACCAAAGUCAGAAGCUGCAUUUUCUAUCUUUUCUCCCCCCUUGUGUAUGUGUGUGUCUUGUCUAGUCUUAAAGGAUGCAGGAUUGGACUUUAACAGCAGCAGCAGCAGCUCCCACCCCUUUUAAUUAACUUGUUCUCUUUUCCUCAAAAAGGAUAUUACCAUCUUAAAUACCAUCUAAAAGAUUGUCAAACGGGCGUUUCCCUUAUUAAAAAAAACUCUCAAGAAAAAAAAAAGUGAUAAGUUAAAAUGAAAGCCUUACUUCAUACUGUACAUUUACAAUGCUUGAACUGUCUUUCCUUCUUUGUUUGUAUCUUUAAUCAAAGGUUAUGAAGAUUUUUAAUGGAGCAUAUUCAAUGGGACUAAGCAGGCUGAGGUCUCUGUGCUGGAACCCUCAAACCUAGUUUAACAGUUUAGUGUUGUACAGUGGCAGGGUCACGUUAGCACCCACUUUCUCCAUCAAAAUUAACAUAACAGGGCCCUGCAAGCAGGCGGGAAUCAUAAUUCUGACUUGAGAAACUAUAAAAUUGUUUGCUGACAGUUCUUCUUAAUAAACGGCAGGCCUGUUUGUAUCUUAUUGCCAGGUGCAGAUUAUUCACUUAUUAUUCACCAGUGCUGCUUGUCACGAUGACUUGCAUUCUUUGACUUGUUUACUUUCAGUUUAUAACUUUCUCUAGCCCCCAAGAAUGAACAGCUUCACAGUAAAUGGGCUAUAAAUGGUAAUUUUGCAAAGACCGCUUAGCAAAUCAAUUUCCAGAUUUCUAUUUCUGAGACAAAGGUUAAAGGGUGACAGAAGCAGCUUCUUCUGGAUGACCAGGACUGCUAGAAGAGUGAAAAGCAACUAACUGGUGGCCUAACUAAGAGGUGGAAGAAUCUUUAGGCAGAUGGAUGCCUUGCACCCCUUCACAUUCAUUCUUAGGUGAGCCAUGGCCACUGCCUUCUCAUUCCCAUAAUACUGAACCUAGCCACAGCAGCCAUUGGAGGUGGCUGUUACUCCCCUGCUUAGGAAGGACAGUGAUGCCCUCUUGGUCCAGCCUCUUCAACCUAAGCAUGGGGAUGGGGGAAUAACUUUCACCCAACAGGGUAGCAGCACCCAUCUUUUAUGGCUUGUCAAAUCCUCAGUUCAAUAGUGCAGCAACACAGAGGCAGAAGCUCUCUCAAGAAUCCCCACACAGAAGAAGGGAAGUUGGGUGGUGAUACCCAGCUAAAGGAUUGCUCUGUCCUAUUCAAAUCUCCAGACAGUUGCUCACUUUGAAGAAGUGGAGGAACAUGAGAGCACUGACAAGCUGCGCUAUUCCUCAGCACAGAUAGGAAGGGUGUUAUCCCCGAGUAGCAUUGCCACCAUCAAGAGGAACAGGGAGGCGGAAGCACACUUCACUACCAGUGAUUAAAAAUAAGUUCUGUUAUCUUGUUCCAAAAAUUUACCACACACUGGAUAGUAUGUUGAAGAAUGUAUUUAUUUUUUUCAAAAAUUUACCUUCAUCAGUAAUAGCCAAGGGCAGAUUAAGGCAGGAUUCUUGACCCCUGCAAUUUGGACCCAGUGGCCUGAACACUGCUGUGAAAAACCCAAAAUGAGGGGAGUGGUCUAAUAAUUAAGCACACAAGUAUGCCACCCACUUACACCAAAGAGUAAUUUGCCCCAGCUCACAGAUUGACUUUGUGACAGCAGGCUGGUCACAAACUUUCUCCUUUAGUGCUCCUGUCUGUAGGAUGGGCUGUUUUCCUACCUACUUACCAACAGCAUUGUAAGGAUUACUUUAUAAAAGCACUGUGGAAUCAAAAAGCCACAAUAUAAGUGCAAAUUACACUCAAAAAGUUAGUUAAAAGUACAUUAUUAAGGUUGCAAAGUCAAGCAUUCAAAAUUUUGGAAAUGCCAGAAUUGUUUGCCUGGGCAACCUUAAUUCAGUCUCCUUGUGCAUGUGCAUUAUUAUACAGUCUUUAAUUACAUGAUCACAUACUGUUUUUUCCUACAGGAUCCCUGCCUCAUUCAGUGCACGAGUGAUGAAUUUAUGAGCAACUAUUUAUCAUUCAAUGUGUGACCACAGGCCUCAUUUACUGCCCACUAUUCAAAUCCUGCUCUGAAUACAGAAUUAUUAAUGUCUUCGUGGACUUCUCUACAGCACUCAUCAUUAUAGUUACAAAUGCUUCAUAAACACUAAAGAAUAUAUUUCCACACCACACCUCUGAGAUGACAAGGAAUUAUUAUCCCCAUUUUACAGAUAAGGAACUUGAUUCACAGAGACGUUAAGGUAAUCAAUAUCCCCUAAUUUUGGGUGCCCAAUUUGAGACACCUAGGACCUGAUUGUUCAAAGCACAGUUUUCAUGGACUUAAGUUGCAGCAGUGAGUGCUCAGCACUUUUUAAAAUCAAGACUCAGGUUGUGAAGUCAGAAAAUGAUGAACACACAAUUAGUGAUCACCUGCAAAAAGUCUGGCUUACAUGACUUGCCCAGCAUCACAUAGGAACUCUGUGGCAAAGGCAAGGAUACAAUCCAGUUCUCCAGGGCAACAUUUAACUGUCUCGAUGAUAAGACCCUCCUUUCUCAUCCUGCUAUCCCCUGUCUCAUUCACUACACACCUUCUACUCUGGACGCCUUUGAGGAACAGAGGGCGCUGUCUGGGGUUCUCUGCUUUGUGUUCCCUCUGGCUCUCUCAUUUUAAUCUUUGACCUCACUCUGAAUCCUGUUUCUUUCAGUCGUUGUCCGCAGAAAUCAGCUGUAGCCCAGGCCUUUAGUUUUGGGCAGGCCUAUACCAGCUUGCCCUAGUACUACAAAUAGUAUGCAUCUUCUACUUCCUCAACAUCCUAUAGAUCACAGCCUCCUUUAACAUGCAACCCUGAUUCAUCCCCAUAGCAGGUCUUUCCUGUGAACUGAAUGAGGUCAGGGUCCUGUGGAAAAAAAUAGUAUUCGAUCAUAUAAUUAAAGACUGCAUACUAAUGCAUAUGCACAAGGGGGGCAAAUUAAAAUUACAAAGGCAACCUUAAUUCUGGCAUUUCCUAACUUUUGAGUGCUUGACUUUGCAACCGCAAUAAUGUCUUUUAAUGUAUUCUUUUGUGCACAAUUUAAAACAGCAAACUGGAAAAUGAAAUUUCAUCAGGCGGCAUCAUACUGACACCCACAUUGUUCAUCAAUAGGGUUAGAAUCUGUAGAUCCACUGCAUAGACCUCUCUGCUCUAAUGAGUAGACUAUUCUGCCCAUUUCCCCCAAGUUUAUCCUCUUCUGUCCUAUACCCUCCAACCUUUCAUAGUCCUGUUUCUACCUCCCCCCAGCUCCUUGUCCCAGUCCUGUUUUCUUUGCCCACCCAUUCCCACUCUCCAUUCAGGCUUUUUAUCCCAGUUUCAGCCUCCUUGCACAGCCAGUCCUAGAUCCAUCCCCACCUUGCCUAGUCAGUCUCAGUUCUCCUUUCCUGGCUCCUCAUCCAGUUUGUAUCUUUCCUCCUCACGACCAAUGGUCCCAGUCCUAGUCUCCUUCCCCAGACCACUCAUCCUGUCUACCCACUCUCUUUGUCCAGCCAGGCCAAGGUUUCCCCUCACAACCUAGCUCCUUGUCAGUUUUGUCUCCCCUUUCCCAAUUCCCCCACACCCUUGUUCUCCUGGUCCAGCCAGUCCGUUUUCCACCCAGCACAUCAUCCAAUCUUGUUGCUCCGCACCCACCCCAAGCCAGCCAACUGGCUCCCAGUCCCCAGCUGUCUCCCUCAGUGGCUCCCAGUGUCCUUGUUCAGCUAGUACCAGUAUUCUCAUACCUUCCAAGCCUCCUUACUCAACCUCAACCAGUUCCCUACACCCAGCCCCUAGUCUCAACCUCUCUUCCAACCAGUUCUAAUCUCCCCUCCACUCCACAGCUCCCAAUCCAAGUGGAGUCAGUUGGUCAGUGAGGAUGGAAUCUUUGGAGAUUUUUGCUCUUAAGCAAUUCUGCACGGAGCAUGUGCAAAUUGUGAUUUUUUUUCAAAACCUUCUAACUUGGUCAAAUUUGGGCAGAUUUUUAAUAGGGCUGUCCAAAAGCACAUCAGUAUCACAAAGGCCACCCCUUGCCAAAUUUCCAGUCUCUGUUCCAAAGUAUGGAGGCAGUGGAGUUUUUCUAAGAAAAGGUUGCAAAAAAUUUUUUAAAAGGGCAAAAUGUGAUUUUCUCUAACCUCAUUCUCUGAAAUAGCUGAACAGUUUUUGCUGAAAUUAAACAAAAAAAGUGCAGCCUGAGGCAGACACCUCUAAUGGAACAUUUCAGCCCAAAUGGUUGAACUUUGGCAAAAGUUAUAAGUAACUGAAAACAGGGGGCUUAUAAUGGGAACUGUUGGGCAACCUGGAUUAUAGCCAGUGCGCUAGGAGUUUAGAAUUGAUGGAGCCCACUUUCUCCACCACAGUUUCUUUAAAUUACAUGAUCUACUUGGGUAGCUGAAUGAACACAAUCACAACAGUGAUAUUUCUACACAUGGUUGGAAUAUUCACAGUAGGACAAUAAAAACUCUUAUAGUAGCAGUUUGUCUAGAUGCCAAGCUCUCAAAAGAAGCUCUCCAGUAAGAACAGUUGAUUAUCCUAUGACUACAAGGGUACAUGUGUAGGUCAAAAAUUUGUGUCAGUGGUAGGACUCCUGGGACUGCCAAAAAGUCCAUACCUUCCACACCAGUAGUUCUCUUCCAGGUCACAGCCUCUUUGUUGAUACAAGGCAUGUUCAUGCAAGCAUGUUCACUCUGCAAAUUACUAGCACCUGAUUUUUCAACUUGCAUGCUUAAUAUUAGGCAUCUAAAUAAAUUUUUUUUAAAAAGUGUCCUGGUUUCCAGAGGUGUUGAGCACUCUACCAGCUCCAACUGAAGCCAAUAGAAAAUGCAGAUGCAGUGCAUCUCAGGAAAAAAGGCCACUGUUUUUUUCCUAUUGGUACCUAACUUUAGGCACUCAAGUCUGAAUAUUUCAGUCUAAAUAGUCUUCUGGAAAUGUUUUAGUUUACAUUUUUAAAAAUUAAAACAGCAUCUGAGAACAAUUAAUGUAGGAAAAUUGUUUUUAUUAUUUGAAAGCAUCCCCUUAAUAAGUCAUAUUCAUUUCUUGGGUAUUUUCCCAACAUGUCACCAUUUGUAACUAACUCUUCCUUAGCAAUUUACCUUAAAAUAUUACAGAUAAAGUGUCUGCCAUUUAAAAAUCAGCAUUUGCCCAGUUACCUGAAAGGGGUAUCUAGGACACUGCAUCUAUUUUCUAUUCAAAAGAUAUAUGAAAUAUAGAAUAUUUCUCUACCAUGUUGAAGCAAUGGUAUAUGUGUCGGCUUUUAAUAGCUAUUGAAAGUUAAAUGCAACCAAUAAGCUAUCUUAUUGUAACGACUUAUCUGUGUGAUAUGCCUAUGGUUGUGUUGUUUUUUUAAAUUGUUCUAUAUGUUUAAACACUUGCUAUAUAGCUGCUUUAUACCAGCACUGUAAACAUGAAAUAAGAGUAAAUAUAUAUAAUAAACUGGAGUCAACGAAGUAAGAUAUGGCAGUGGAAAA